RNAcentral lists this ribosomal RNA (468 nucleotides) under uncultured bacterium. Its description in RNAcentral is "partial 16S ribosomal RNA". It matches the Rfam family "Bacterial small subunit ribosomal RNA", at positions 28 to 507 of the family's 1533-position model. The record is from RNAcentral.
GACGAACGCUGGCGGCGUGCUUAACACAUGCAAGUCGAACGGAAAGGCCCUGCUUUUUUGGGGUUCUCGAGUGGCGAACGGGUGAGUAGCACGUGAGUAACCUGCCCUUGACUUUGGGAUAACUUCAGGAAACUGGGGCUAAUACCGGAUAGGAUCUCCUGCUGCAUGGUGGGGGUUGGAAAGUUUCGGCUGUUGGGGAUGGACUCGCGGCUUAUCAGCUUGUUGGUGGGGUAGUGGCUUACCAAGGCAUUGACGGGUAGCCGGCCUGAGAGGGUGACCGGCCACAUUAGGACUGAGAUACGACCCAGACUCGUACGGGAGGCAGCGGUGGGGAAUAGUGCACAGUGGGAGGAAGCAUGGUGCAGCAACGCCGCGUGCGGGAUGACGGCAUUCGGGUAGUAAACCGCUUUAGCCUGUGACGAAGCGUGAGUGACGGUAAUGGGAAAAGAAGCACCGGCUAACUACGUG